Alligator sinensis (Chinese alligator) is the source of this 1964-nucleotide long non-coding RNA. RefSeq lists it as uncharacterized. NCBI's taxonomy places the organism in Eukaryota, Metazoa, Chordata, Crocodylia, Alligatoridae. The record is from RefSeq and is a predicted model, not a curated record. The transcript has 4 exons.
GGUACUGGGGCCCAAGUGGGAAUAAGCAAUCAUGUUCUCUAAGUUUUCUUAAAAACAAAUUUUAAUUGUUGCCACAAUUUCCUAGAGUGUGAAUUUCUCUUUAAAGAACGGUAUUUUUAUUAAUUGUUACAUAGUCAAUUAAAAAUAUUUUGUAUACAGUAUGAGGUUGGUAAUACACGGAAGAGACAAACGCAAGAUUACAUUAUAAAAAUGUUGCGUGUAAAAAUUAUAAAACGAGAACUGGAGAAUACAAAAUAAGGAAGAAACAAGACAUGAAUUUCUAGAGAAUGUUACUGUCCGUUUCAGUGGAAGCAGAAAGACAAAGGAAUUGAAAAUUGAAGGAAUUUGAAGAUUCCACGCCUAGCUUCUAACCAGUCACAACUGGGAUAGCUUUCACUCCUCAAUUGGCUAAAAACCCAAAAAGGCAUAUAUUGUGUAAUAGUCUAUACAUUAUAAUGUUGGACAGACAUCAUGCAUAUUACUUCUCAAAUCAAUAAAGCAGGUUCUAGGAACUCGGAUAAAUGACUGACUUUGCUGCAAGGUUUAAUGAACAAAAUAAAAAAAAAAAAGUCAUUCUUGACUUCAAUAGGACUCGAGUAUAAAACCUUUGUGUCCUGUACUGCCUCUCAUCCUUUUUGGAUUUGGGUGCCUUCCAUAUAAAAUCACUGCAGACUUACUGUUGCAGCUGAACUUCAUGGAGCUGUUCUACAAUUUGGAGGGUAAAACUGAUGUACAGUUUUCCUUUCUUAUCACUAGUUUCAGCACCUUCCCCUGUUUGAAUGAUACACAAGUCAGGGCCCUAAUAUAAGAAGAAUGCUGCAGGAAAUAAGAGCAAGCUCUCAAGUUGAUGCUAGUUUAAGUUUUCCUUUCAAUGUUUAAUUUUAAGUUAAUUUUGUUUGCCUUGUUCUAGUGGUCCUGUUGAAUUUCUACUCCCAAGCAAUAAGAAACUGCACGCUUGUAAUUUUACAUCUGCUAAGAAGUGUUUUUAACACCUUUUUGUUUUCUAUUCAUAAGCAGAGUUCUUUUGCUAUGGUAAUAUAAUUAAACAAGUAAAAAGCUUGUAGAAAAACAAAACAAAUUAUGAACUCCAGAAAAAGAGCCCUGCACAACGUCAGCAUUGGGUUUUGCCUCUUCAGCAACAUUGUGCAACUGCUGCAGAAAUAUUGAUAAAGAUAAUAAAUGUGUGAUUGUCCCCUGCUGCAAAGAAAGCUGUGGGAGGGGUUUAGAUAGAAGAAGUCUGUAGCGUUCCCUGCAAAUUAUUCCCUAAAGAGUUUAUAGAGGGCACAGCCUGAUCCUCAGGUUAACUCAUGCAUCUGUGCACUUUCAGUCCCCUUGGCAGCACGGCUCCAGCAGGAAACGUGCUUCUGCUGAUCGGGUCACGCUACGCCUGGUCAGUAGCAGCCACAGAACUACCUCGCACUCGGACAGCCACGCAGCAUCACGGGAUCGUGCUAGUGAUUUGUCCAAGUGCAUAUACAUUGAGCACUUCCUGACUUCCCCAGGCACAGAUAAAGAUCCAGACCUGCAUGAUUUCCAGCUUUUAUACAGGAAUAUAACAGGUGUUGGAGCAUCAUGAGCACAAUCAAUCAUUAUGUUCAGUUAUGCACUUGUUUAGAUCUCCCGUAUGCUGAAAUGCCAUCCUCAGAUGUUUUGAAGUUUUCCUUUUGGAUCAAAUGGCCACUGUACACAGACUGCUCAGUCCCAUAAUAUGAAGAAUUGCUGGAGAAGAAGUAAACAAGAAACAAUUUGUUGAAAAUUAUUUUACGAGGAAAGACCAAGAGGAAAUGGAGAGAAAAAACUGUCUCAGCAGUACUCCCAUCCCAGCAGCUAACACUUCGUCAAGGGUUUCCUGCUUGUCUUGCAGCAGCCGCUGGAGGUGCUUCAUUUCUUGCUGGUACUGAGCAGUCUUCCCAGCAAAUUCCUUCUCUUGCUCAGUCAUUUUGAGAUUGAUGUCUCCGAGCUUC